This 352-nucleotide unclassified non-coding RNA is filed under the name soil metagenome. RNAcentral's name for it is "partial contains 5.8S ribosomal RNA, internal transcribed spacer 2, and large subunit ribosomal RNA". The stretch from base 1 to 120 matches the Rfam family "5.8S ribosomal RNA", at positions 35 to 154 of the family's 154-position model. The record is from RNAcentral.
GAUGAAGAACGCAGCGAAAUGCGAUAAGUAAUGUGAAUUGCAGAAUUCAGUGAAUCAUCGAAUCUUUGAACGCACAUUGCGCCCGCCAGUAUUCUGGCGGGCAUGCCUGUUCGAGCGUCAUUACAACCCUCAGGCCCCCGGGCCUGGCGUUGGGGAUCGGCGGAAGCCCCCUGUGGGCACACGCCGUCCCUCAAAUACAGUGGCGGUCCCGCCGCAGCUUCCAUUGCGUAGUAGCUAACACCUCGCAACUGGAGAGCGGCGCGGCCAUGCCAUAAAACACCCAACUUCUGAAUGUUGACCUCGAAUCAGGUAGGAAUACCCGCUGAACUUAAGCAUAUCAAUAAGCGGAGGA